Molecule: long non-coding RNA, 1371 nt
Organism: Oreochromis niloticus (Nile tilapia)
Lineage: Eukaryota; Metazoa; Chordata; Actinopteri; Cichliformes; Cichlidae
Exons: 3
Source: RefSeq, a predicted model, not a curated record
GCUCUCCUGGCAGAUUGACAGGAAGCGUGUGUUUAUUUUUUUUAAAGGAUUCCUGCUAUGAGAAGCGCACUGCCCCCCUCCCCCCGCCGCCGUUCCUCCAAAUGAAGUUAGUGAGGAGUUCCAAGCAGUCCUCCUGCACCUCUGUGUCUUUGUUCACUCAAAACUUUUAACUUCAUUCUAAAUUUCGAGCCUCGAUGCUUAUUGACCAUAAAGCUAUAUUUGGCUAUGUAGUCAUUUUUUUUUUUUCCUAUUAAAAGUUCCUCUUCCUCUUUUAGUGAUUAGCGUGAGGUAAUGAUUCAGCUGCGACGCUUUGUGCAAUCGGUUUCUGAGAAAUUCAUAGUAACAGAGGGUUGAAUGCUCAUCGCUGCCUUCCCAUAGAGGGCGACAGAUUUUGGGAAACUUGAUUUUAUUUCUCAACCGGCAACAGCUGGUUUCCAAGGGCAGCGGGUUAUUGUUUACUUCUUGUCGUCAGAUGUUUUAACAGCUUUCCCCGCAGCGUUUGUGCACUUUUAAUGAGCGCCCUGAGAUAUUCGAGCGCUCUCUUACGAACCUUAAUGUGCUUUAAUGUGACACGGUGAUCAUUUGUAAGGACAAGAGGGGGAGCUUGAGGGAAAUAGAGUGACGCCAGAGUGCCUGAUGGCCUUUGUUAAAGACCAGCUGUGUCCACAGAGAAAAACUAUGGUGUCAUCAAUGUAAAGCAUCAAUUUGGUAUUCAAAGGCUCCCCAGGGUCCAUACUAGGAAUGACUGGAACAAAAAUGAACUAGUAAGCUGACUGAAUCUGGGAAAAAGAACCUGCCUCCCCAGUGCUCAACAGGAACACUCAACAUGCACACUAUUAUGGGAUGCUGACUUGGCUGUUUAAUGUGUGUACUGUAAUUUUACAGGUCGAUUACAAUAAACUGAGGCUGUGCAUACGUUUGUAUGCACAGCCUCCAAGGUGGCAGGCGAACCAAGUGACCUGUAGCUGAGGCAGCUUUCUUCUCUGUUGCUGUAGCACACUGUGGGACUCCGGUUAAACAUCUGUGGCUGGAAGGUUUGGCAAUGACACAUUUGGUUUUUUAGGCUAAGUGUGUGUGUGUGCAUGUGUGUGCAUGUGUGUGUGCCAUUCCCUGGCUUAUAUUUAUAGUAGUCUUAGCGAAUGAAAAUACUACACCAAAAAUGAGCAUUUGUUCAUAUUUAAAGGUUCAAAUGCACGAGUGCUGUCUACUGACAAACAAAUACAUCAACAACAACCAAAUUUUCAGUGUAGUUCUUCUUAGAAUUUGUUCUAAGUGGAUUAGACAAGGCAUCACAUGGCAGCGGAUGCUAGCUUUUAGCUAUUUUUUUAGGGGGAAAAAAAGAGACAGCUGUUUAAGUUUUCCCAGACUGAC